Molecule: long non-coding RNA, 7510 nt
Filed under: Capsicum annuum
Lineage: Eukaryota; Viridiplantae; Streptophyta; Magnoliopsida; Solanales; Solanaceae
Description: long non-coding RNA (CANN_LNC008206)
Source: RNAcentral
GAGGUAGGUUAUGGUUUAAUUGGUGUUUAGACUCGACUUAAUUGUGUGUAUACUCCUAAAUUGGAUACUUGUAGAUUGGUAUUCGGGCAUGCUUGAAAUGGUUGAUGUUUGGAUUGUUGAUUCGUGUAUAAAUAUUUAUUGAAAAUUGACUUGAUGGAAUUGUCUUAUGACUUUAACUGUACUUGUAAACUUGGUGUUGCAUACUGUGAGGUUGUGUAAAUUGAUAUUGAUAAUACUUGUUUAUAUUUAUGUUGGAUCGGGUACCACGCCGGUACGUUUAUAUUUACGUUGGAUCGAGUACCAUACUGGUACGUUUAUAUUUAUGUUGUAUCGGGUACCACGCCGGUACGUUUAAAUUUAUGUUAGAUCGGGUACCACGCCAGUACGGAUAUGUAUAUGUUGGAUCGGGUACCACGCCGGUACGGUACAUGAACAUGGAUUGUUCCCUGCAGGUCAUGACUAUUUGGGCAAAAAUAAGUCCCAUAGCAUGUGUGUACAUACUUGUGUUGAUUCUGUGGAUGCUUACCGUAUGGUUGAUACUCUUGAUAGUUAUGUGGCUUGUUUGUGAGCACUGUUGACCUGUUAUUGUUGUAUUGUUGAUUUGAUGAGAAUUUGUUAUUUGAUGAUGCCUGUCUACUUGUUUUUCUAAUUAUGUUGUGUACAUCCUAUUAAGUUGAGUUGGCUUAUGAUGCCUACCAGUACAUAGUGAUUUGUACUAAUACUACCUCGUACUCUUCUUUUGUUGAGUGCAGAAAGUUUUCCAGAGGCUCAAAUACGACCUCACCUCUAGUGUUGAUAGCAGAUCUUGAUCCGAAGGGUGAGCACUCCGUCUUCAGGCUGCCACAGGUCAUGUUAUUUGUUAUUGUCCAUCUUUCGGGCAAUGAAACAUUCCUUAUUUACUUUAUUUGGAGUUUUCUUCAGACAUGAUUUGUUAGUAGUUCUUGUAUGAUGAUCUUUGGGUCUUGAGGAUUUUAGUAAACAUUUUAUUUGACUUCCGCAUUAAUAAUGAUUAGUCCUGAAUUAUUAGUAUUAUGUUGAUUUUAUGAUAUCAUCUUGACUAAGUGCUUGGGUAAAGGUUCGGUUUAGAUGGUUCUCCCACAAGAAGAUUAGUGUGGGUGCCACUCAUGGCCUUUUGGGUCGUGACAAAGUUGGUAUCAGAGCCUAGGUUCAUCGAUCUCGUAGUACAAAAACAUGUCUAGUAGAGUCUUGCGAAACGGUACGGAGACGUCUGUACUUUUCUUCGAGAGGCUAUAGGGAAAUAGGAAAAUUCAAAUUCUUCUUUCUUACAUGCUAUUACUUGAUUUCAAUUGGUAUCUGACGAUUUCAAUUGGUAUCUGACUUCUUUCACUCUUAUUCUCGCAGAUGGUAAGAACACGAAAGAAUGGGGCAAGAGGAGGACGUGGCGGAGGAAGGAGAGCAGCGCCCGCCAUGGGCAGAGCUCAAGCUACGGGGCCAGCUAGAGAGAGGCCAAUAUCUCCUCCCCACAUGAGGAUUUGCCCGAGGUUGUAGAGGAUGGAGCUAUACCAGUACAGGAAGAACGAGUGCCGGCUCAUGAUGGGGUUGCACCAGCUCAGGAAGGUGCAGCUCCGAUUCAGAUGUCUCCCGCCGUGAUUCAACAGGUUCUGAGUUUUCUGAGUGGUUUGGCAGGGUCAAGGUCUAUGCUCGUAGCACCUGUAGUCCAACCUGGGAUGCAGCAUGCUGCUGCUGUAGCCCCUCGGAUGGAAGAAGAGUUAGGAGCAGAUGUUUUUCCAAGACAGGUUGUGGGUCCAGUGACGACCGGAGAUGAGCAUGAGUUGUUCUGUAAGUUAAUCAAGAUGAAGACCCCUGUCUUUCACGGAACUGAGUCGGAGGAUGCCUACGAGUUUAUUAUUGACUGUCAUGAGAGGCUACAUAAGAUGGGGGUGGUUGAGAGGUAUGGCGUAGAACUGGUUACUUUCCAAUUCCAGGGGGAUGCUAAGAUGUGGUGGAGGCCCUAUGUUGAGUGUAGGGAUCCACAGCUUUGCCUCCCUUGACUUGGACACAGUUUUACACAGUUUUUCUAGAAAAGGGCGUGCCUCGUACUUUGAGAGAUAGAAAAAGGGAUGAAUUUGCUAAUCUUAAGAAGGGGAACAUGUCAGUUGCGGCCUAUGAGGCCAAAUUUCAUUCAUUGUCUCGGUAUGCAUCUCAUUUGUUGAAAAUUGAAGAGGAGAGGAUCCGUCAUUUUGUGAAGGGGUUAAAUACAGGUCUUCAAAUUUCUGCUCUUCAGAUGACAUCGUCAGGUAGGUCUUUUCAGGAGAUGGUUGAUUUUGUCAAAAAGAUGGAGGGCGUAAGGCAAGAGGGUUAUGCUAAAGCAUUAAAAAAGAAGGCCCGCAGAGGAGGCAGCUUUAGUGGUUCUUAUUCUAGGGGUCAGGGUUCACAGGGAUACCCUACCCGCCCCAUUCAGUCAGCGAUGCCGGUGUCUGUGGGUGGUCCGUCAGGAGCUAUCCAGCCAUUUCCAUACUCUGGUGGUUACCUCGCUUCAUCUUCGUCAGCUCAACGGCCUACCUUGGACCGUACAUGUUACGAGUGUGGCGAAGUGGGUCAUGAUAAGAGGUUUUGUCCUAAUGCAAGGCAGUUUGGUCAGUCUAUCCCACAGCAGGCUCCUGGAGCUCUCGUUUCGACAAGUAGGAGAGGUGGUAGUAAUGGUAGAGGUCGUUCAUAGGGUGGUCGUGUGGUCAUCAAGCAGGUAGGGGUGGUAAUCAGCCCUAUCAAGGUGGUUCUCAGCUUGGCAGGGGUGACGUGCAAACUGGUGGUAGGGCCCAUAUCUAUGCCUUUCCAGGCAGGCCCGAGGCAGACGCAUCAGACAUUAUUAUAGGUACUAUUCUUGUUUGUGACAAAAUGGACACUGUAUUAUUUGAUCCCGGCUCUACUUUUUCCUACGUGUCUGCUAACUUUGCUGUGGGAUUGGACAGUGUGUGUGAUUUUCUUGACUUUCUGAUUCACGUGUCUACUCAUGUUGGUGAUUCUGUUGUUGUUGAUAGAGUUUAUCAUUCUUGUUCUGUUAUGUUUAUAGGGUAUCAACUUGGGCAGAUUUAGUAAUUCUAGACAUGGUAGAUUUUGAUAUAAUUUUGGGUAUGGGUUGGUUGUCCCCGUAUCAUGCUUUAUUAGAUUGUCAUCCUAAGACAGUGACUGUGGCUAUGCCAGGAAUAGAUAGACUUAAGUGGUGGGGGGGGGGGGGAUUAUAGUCCUACUCCAAUGAAACUUAUUUCCUUUCUGCGUACAAAGAGGUUAAUUAGGAGAGGUUGUUUGGCCUUCCUAGCACAUCUUCGAGAUACUUCCACAGAGCUAUUGAGUCAGUUCCUGUAGUGUGUGAGUUCUAAGAGGUUUUUCCUGCAGAUUUGCCUGGUAUGCCGCCAGACCGUGACAUUGACUUCUGUAUCGAUCUAGAGCCAAGUACGCGUCCAAUUUCCGUUCCUCCUUAUAGGAUGGCUCCGGCUGAGUUGAGAGAGCUAAAGGCUCGGUUGCAGGAUUUGUUGAGUAAGGGUUUUAUCCGUCCGAGUGCCUCUCCAUGAGGUGCUCCUGUCUUGUUUGUAAAGAAGAAGGAUGGUAGUCUUCGUAUGUGUAUAGAUUACAGGCAGUUGAACAAAGUCACAAUCCGUAAUAAGUAUCCUUUGCCCUAUAUAGAUGAUUUAUUUGACCAGUUGCAGGGUGCAUCCGUAUUCUCUAAGAUUGAUUUGAGGUCUGAGUAUCAUCAGCUCAAGAUUCGGCCUGACGAUAUUCCUAAGACUGCUUUUCGAACCAGGUAUGGGCACUAUGAGUUUCUUGUGAUGUUUUUUGGGCUGACUAAUGCCCCAGCUGCUUUUAUGAGUUUGAUGAAUAGGAUAUUUAAACCCUACUUGGAUUCUUUCGUGAUUGUCUUUAUUAAUGAUAUUCUGGUUUACUCUAAGAGUAAAGAGGAGCAUGAGGAUCACAAGGAUUGUUUUGGGUUUGUUAAAAGAGAAAAAGCUUUAUGCAAAAUUCUCUACGUGUGAGUUCUGAUUGGCUUCUGUAUCCUUUUUGGGGCAUGUGGUUUCAAAGGAAGGGGUGGCAGUAGACCCUCAUAAGAUUGAAGAGGUUAAGAAUUGGGCUAGGCCUACUUCAGUGAUGGAGGUUCGUAGCUUUAUUGGCUUAGCAAGUUAUUAUCGUAGGUUCGUGAAGGGUUUGCUUCUAUUUCCACUCAUAUGACACGGUUGACUCAGAAGGAUGUGCCUUUUAUUUGGUCUGAUAAGUGUGAGGAGAGCUUUCAAAAACUCAAGACCUCUUAUUCUUUCCUUGUCGGUAAAAGGUAAGGAUUUCAUUAUUUAUUGUGAUGCCUCACGUUCUGGUUUAGGUGCUGUGAUGAUGCAGGAAAGGAAUGUUAUUGCUUAUGCUUCGAGGCAAUUGAAGCCCAAUGAGAAGAAUUAUCCCACUCAUGAUUUGGAGUUAGCUGCUGUAGUUUGUGCUCUUAAGAUAUGGAGGCAUUACUUGUAUGGGGUUCGUUGUGAAGUGUUCACUGAUCACCGCAGUUUACAGUAUGUGUUCACACAGAGGGAUUUGAAUUUGAGACAGCGUAGAUGGAUGGGAUUGCUUAAAGAUUAUGAUAUCACCAUUCUCUACCAUCCGGGGAAAGCUAAUGUGGUCGUUGAUGCACUAAGUAGGAAGUCAACAAGUAUGGGUAGUUAGGCUUAUUUGAAAGCUUAUUUGAAAGCUAGCAGGUUUCCGUUGGCUAGAGAGAUUCAGACUCUAGCUAACAAGUUUGUUCGACUUGAGGUAACUGAGAAAGAAGGAAUUCUGGUCAGCAUUGAGGCAAGGUCCACAUUUCUUGAUCAAAUCAAGGCUAAACAAUUUGAGGAUUCUAAGUUGAGCAAAAUUCGUGAUAAGGUUUCGCAGGGUGACGCCAAGGAGGCCAUUCUUGAUGGUGACGAUGUGUUGCGGAUUAAGGGGAGAGUUUGUGUACCUCGUGUUGAUGAUUUGAUUUCUACUAUUCUAGUUGAGGCUCAUUGUUCGAAGUAUUCCAUACAUCCUGGUGCAACCAAGAUGUACCGUGAUUUAAGGCAGCAUUACUGGUGGGGUCGGAUGAAGCAUGACAUAGUUGAUUGUGUUGCUAAAUGCCAGAGUUGUCAGCAGAUAAAGUACGAGCAUCAAAAGCCUGGUGGUACUCUUCAGAGCCCAUUCCUGAAUGGAAAUGGGAGAGGAUAGCUAUGGAUUUUGUUGUUGGUCUUCCCAAGAUUGGGAAAGUAUGAUUCUAUAUGGGUUAUUGUGGAUAGGUUGACGAAGUCUGCACAUUUCAUUCUAGUUCAGGUGACUUAUAAUGCAGAAAAGUUGGCCAAGAUUUAUCUUAAGCAGAUUGUUCGGUUGCAUGGGGUCCCCGUUUCUAUUAUCUCGAAUAGGGGUACUCAAUUUACUCUACCUAUUGGAAGAAGUUGCACGAGGAGUUGGGCACAAGGUUGGACCUUAGUACAGCUUUUCACCCUCAAACCGAUGGGCAGUCCGAGCGGACAAUUCAGUUAUUGGAGGAUAUGCUCCGUGCGUGUGUGAUGGAUUUUGGAGGUUAUUGGGAUCAGUUCCUACCUUUGGCCAAGUUUACAUAUAAUAACAGUUAUCAUUCGAGUAUUGACAUGGCGCCGUUUGAGGCAUUAUACGGGAGAAGGUAUAGAUCUCUCAUUGGGUGGUUUGAUGUAUUUGAGGUAAGACCAUGCGGUACUGAUCUGUUGAGGAACUCGUUAGAGAAGGUCAAGUUCAUUCGGGAGAAACUUAUAGCGGCUCAAAGUAGGCAAAAGAAGUAUGCAGAUCGAAAAGUUAGAGAUAUGCACUUUAUGGAGGGUGAGCAAAUGUUGCUCAAAGUUUCGCCCAUGAAGGGUGUUAUGCGUUUUGGGAAGCGAGAUAAGCUCAGUCCUAGAUAUAUUGGACCAUUUGAGAUUCUUUAGCGUGUGGGGCCAGUGGCCUAUAGAUUAGCUUUGCCUCCGAGUUUGUCAGGAGUUCACCCUGUGUUUCAUGUAUCGAUGCUAAGGAAGUUUCAUGGUGAUGGUAACUACAUAAUUCGUUAGGAUUCGAUCUUGUUAGAUGAAAACCUUUCUUAUGAAGAGGAACCUGUUGCUAUUCUUAAUAAAGAUGUCCGUAAGUUGAGGACUAAGGAGAUUGCGUCUGUGAAGGUCCAGUGGAAGAACCCUCCUAUUGAGGAGGCCACUUGGGAGACCGAAGCAGACAUACGUAACAAGUAUCCGCAUCUUUUUGCUGAUUCAGGUAAUUCUUUGUUUUCCCUUCUUGUCCUAUGUUUGCCUGUUCAGGGAUGAACGGUUGUUUAAUUGGUAUCUGAUGUAACGAUCCUUUCGGUCGUUUGUGGAAUUUUCUCAUCUUUUCUAUUUUAGCGCUCGGUUUGUAUACGUAGAUUAUGACUCACGGGAUGAGUAGUACAGAUUUAUGAGGAUAUAUUAACGUUUUGGGUAUUUUAGAAUAAUUAGUGAUUUAAUGGGCCAAUGUUGUGGUUUAUUUUCUUAUGUGGUCAAUAAAAGAAUUAAUUUAAGUGGAAAGAAUUUAGCAUAUUUAUUAAAAAUAAGGUCAGAUAAAUUGAGAGAUGGAGUACAGAAGUUAUGCUUAGGUUAUCUCACACAGCAUAGAAGAAAAAUAAAAGGACGACGGCUUUGGAGCAUCAUCAGGUGAAUGUACGAGUUGCUUUUAAUGAAAUUGUUUUUGAUUGAAUAGUAGUUUCCUAGUUAUGACUAUAAGGACGUGAAUCAGUAAGGGAAAUUGUUUAAUCAGUGGACGAAUUCGGAUGAAACCAUAUGAAGUGGUUUUACAAUUUGAAUAAAGUAAAGAAACCAAUUUUGUCAUUUAGUAAUGAUGACACACUACAGAAUUAGCAAGUUUAUCAUACAAUUGAUGGUUUGCACAGAUCUUCAUAGACUUAUGGACUUAUUAAUAAAAUAAAGAUAAUGUGGCUAUGUUGUUCCAGGGAAACUAAAAGUGGCGCAGCCACUGUUUCUUGUAUACUUUUCUAAGAGAAUUUUCUGUGGAAUCAAUUACUCUAUCACUGAAUAAAAUUAAGGUUUAGUCUUAGAAUUUUUAGAGUAAGAAAUUAUAAACAGGUGUUAUUAAAUUCAUAUUUCUUAAGAGGAUUAUAUGUUUGAACAGACUUUGAACGUUUCGAAAAUUUGAGGAAGGACAAGACACUUGUUGACUAGUGAUAUUUGAGCUCUUCGAUUGAGGUAGGUUAUGGUUUAAUUAGAGUUACUCGACUUAAUUGUGUGUAUACUCCUAAAUUGGAUACUUGUGGAUUGGUAUUCAAGCAUGCUUGAAAUGGUUGAUGUUUGGAUUGUUGAUUCGUGUAUAAAUAUUUAUUGAAAAUUGACUUGAUGGAAUUGUCUUAUGACUUUAAGUGUACUUGUAAACUUGGCACAUAGUGUUGUAUGCUGUGAGGUUGUGUAAAUUGAUAUUGAUAAUACUUGUUUAUAUUUAUGUUGGAUCGGGUACCACGCCGGUACGUUUAUAUUUAUGUUGGAUCGGGUACCAUGCCCGUAUGUUUAUAUUUAUGUUG